RNAcentral lists this ribosomal RNA (428 nucleotides) under uncultured bacterium. Its description in RNAcentral is "bacterial SSU rRNA". It matches the Rfam family "Bacterial small subunit ribosomal RNA", at positions 355 to 775 of the family's 1533-position model. The record is from RNAcentral.
UGGGGAAUAUUGCACAAUGGGCGCAAGCCUGAUGCAGCCAUGCCGCGUGUAUGAAGAAGGCCUUCGGGUUGUAAAGUACUUUCAGCGGGGAGGAAGGCGUUGUGGUUAAUAACCACAGCGAUUGACGUUACCCGCAGAAGAAGCACCGGCUAACUCCGUGCCAGCAGCCGCGAUAAUACGGAGGGUGCAAGCGUUAAUCGGAAUUACUGGGCGUAAAGCGCACGCAGGCGGUCUGUCAAGUCGGAUGUGAAAUCCCCGGGCUCAACCUGGGAACUGCAUUCGAAACUGGCAGGCUAGAGUCUCGUAGAGGGGGGUAGAAUUCCAGGUGUAGCGGUGAAAUGCGUAGAGAUCUGGAGGAAUACCGGUGGCGAAGGCGGCCCCCUGGACAAAGACUGACGCUCAGGUGCGAAAGCGUGGGGAGCAAACAG